GACGAACGCUGGCGGCGUGCUUAACACAUGCAAGUCGAACGGAAAGGCCCUGCUUUUGUGGGGUGCUCGAGUGGCGAACGGGUGAGUAACACGUGAGUAACCUGCCCUUGACUUUGGGAUAACUUCAGGAAACUGGGGCUAAUACCGGAUAUGAGCUCCUGCUGCAUGGUGGGGGUUGGAAAGUUUCGGCGGUUGGGGAUGGACUCGCGGCUUAUCAGCUUGUUGGUGGGGUAGUGGCUUACCAAGGCUUUGACGGGUAGCCGGCCUGAGAGGGUGACCGGACACAUUGGGACUGAGAUACGGCCCAGACUCCUACGGGAGGCAGCAGUGGGGAAUAUUGCACAAUGGGCGGAAGCCUGAUGCAGCAACGCCGCGUGCGGGAUGACGGCCUUCGGGUUGUAAACCGCUUUCGCCUGUGACGAAGCGUGAGUGACGGUAAUGGGUAAAGAAGCACCGGCUAACUACGUG
RNAcentral lists this ribosomal RNA (468 nucleotides) under uncultured bacterium. Its description in RNAcentral is "partial 16S ribosomal RNA". It matches the Rfam family "Bacterial small subunit ribosomal RNA", at positions 28 to 507 of the family's 1533-position model. The record is from RNAcentral.